This 773-nucleotide long non-coding RNA is filed under the name Triticum aestivum (bread wheat). Its description in RNAcentral is "long non-coding RNA (TAES_LNC016049)". Lineage: Eukaryota; Viridiplantae; Streptophyta; Magnoliopsida; Poales; Poaceae. The record is from RNAcentral.
AGGUAUUUUAUUUCAUCUUAAGUGGUCCGUCCUGACAAAUGAAAUGUACAGAAACAGAUGAAUAUGUUGUUCUUAAUUGUGCUGUUCUUGCAGACACCUUCUUUACUGGCAGUAGGUUCUCUCGUGCCGGUUGUCGGUGGAGUUGUGUUGGCAUCUAUGACUGAAGUUUCUUUCAACUGGUUAGUUGUAAUAUUGCCAUUAGUUAAUAUUCCAAAUGUCAAAGGAUUGGGGAAACAUUGACUUUUUGAUUACCUCUUCAGAUAUUUGUAAGAUCAUCUACAUCCGGAUAUAGCAAAUCCAGCCCCUCAUAGGUUCGCGGACGUUUCCGGGCAUGUCCGUGGAGAGGGCCUGGUCACCCCUCAUUUUGCGUCCGGUGCAACCGAGUACCUCAAAUAUCACACCUCAAAUCCAUACUACAUAUCCAACACAAAAGCUACGUAGUACCACAUAGAUAAACCUAGUGUUAUGUGGCUGCUAGAAGGAGGGCGGCAGCUGCAGACCAUGCAUCUCCCGCACACACCGACGCGCUAGGAGGCCGCGCGCAGCAGCCUGCAGCCUCACCGCCGCCGACACGUGGCGGGUAGUGAUCCAAGCCGGAAGCGGUGACGGCGACGGCGGGAACUUGAUCUGGUGGAUCGGGACUCCCGCCGGCGCGGUCGAUGCGGGGCUUUGAUACCAGAUUGUUAUGUGGCUGCUAGAAGGAGGGCGCGAGAGGGCCGGCCGGGGGCCUUCUCGCCCACGGCCGGGCAAGAGGGAAGGGAUUUCCUUCUUAA